ACAAUCCUACGGGACGCAGCAGUAGGGAAUCUUCCACAAUGGACGAAAGUCUGAUGGAGCAACGCCGCGUGAGUGAAGAAGGGUUUCGGCUCGUAAAGCUCUGUUGGUAGUGAAGAAAGAUAGAGGUAGUAACUGGCCUUUAUUUGACGGUAAUUACUUAGAAAGUCACGGCUAACUACGUGCCAGCAGCCGCGGUAAUACGUAGGGGGCAAGCGUUGUCCGGAUUUAUUGGGCGUAAAGCGAGU
This 245-nucleotide ribosomal RNA is filed under the name uncultured bacterium. Its description in RNAcentral is "partial 16S ribosomal RNA". It matches the Rfam family "Bacterial small subunit ribosomal RNA", at positions 333 to 570 of the family's 1533-position model. The record is from RNAcentral.